GAUGAACGCUGGCGGCGUGCCUAAUACAUGCAAGUCGAGCGAACAGACGAGGAGCUUACUCCUCUGACGUUAGCGGCGGACGGGUGAGUAACACGUGGAUAACCUACCUAUAAGACUGGGAUAACUUCGGGAAACCGGAGCUAAUACCGGAUAACAUGUUGAACCGCAUGGUUCAACAGUGAAAGACGGUCUUGCUGUCACUUAUAGAUGGAUCCGCGUCGCAUUAGCUAGUUGGUAAGGUAACGGCUUACCAAGGCAACGAUGCGUAGCCGACCUGAGAGAGUGAUCGGCCACACUGGAACUGAGACACGGUCCAGACUCCUACGGGAGGCAGCAGUAGGGAAUCUUCCGCAAUGGGCGAAAGCCUGACGGAGCAACGCCGCGUGAGUGAAGAAGGUCUUCGGAUCGUAAAACUCUGUUAUUAGGGAAGAACAAAUGUGUAAGUAACUAUGCACGUCUUGACGGUACCUAAUCAGAAAGCCACGGCUAACUACGUG
RNAcentral lists this ribosomal RNA (497 nucleotides) under uncultured bacterium. RNAcentral describes it as "partial 16S ribosomal RNA". It matches the Rfam family "Bacterial small subunit ribosomal RNA", at positions 28 to 507 of the family's 1533-position model. The record is from RNAcentral.